This 444-nucleotide ribosomal RNA is filed under the name uncultured bacterium. Its description in RNAcentral is "partial 16S ribosomal RNA". It matches the Rfam family "Bacterial small subunit ribosomal RNA", at positions 354 to 796 of the family's 1533-position model. The record is from RNAcentral.
GUAGGGAAUAUUGGGCAAUGGUCGGAAGACUGACCCAGCCAUGCCGCGUGCAGGAAGACGGCCCUCUGGGUUGUAAACUGCUUUUAUCUGGGAAGAAAAAGGCCAUGCGUGGCAAAUUGCCGGUACCAGAUGAAUAAGCACCGGCUAACUCCGUGCCAGCAGCCGCGGUAAUACGGAGGGUGCGAGCGUUGUCCGGAUUUAGUGGGUUUAAAGGGUGCGUAGGCGGCUGAUUAAGUCAGCGGUGAAAGACUUCGGCUUAACCGGAGCAGUGCCGUUGAUACUGGUUGGCUUGAGUGUCGGAGGGGUACAUGGAAUUGAUGGUGUAGCGGUGAAAUGCAUAGAUACCAUCAGGAACACCGAUAGCGAAGGCAUUGUACUGGCCGACAACUGACGCUGAUGCACGAAAGUGUGGGGAUCGAACAGGAUUAGAUACCCUAGUAGUCC